AGGGCUUGCAGGAACCAUGAACCGCAGCAGAGCAAACUCACUGUCCGCGCUCCUCGUCUCCGGGAGGCCAGGAAAGUCCCUUCUGCUGGUUCGCCGCCGCCGCCUUCCUGGGCAUGGCCUGGCCCGGCCCUCGGAGAGGUGAGGGCGGGACGGGGAAGCUGGGAGUUGUCCUUCCUUCCUUUCUUUGAAAUCAAAAUCCUUUCCUCGGGGAGGAGCGCGGGAAGCGGCGCCGGCGGCAGCAGGGCAGAGGGUGUGGCCCGCGCUGUCGCUGCCGCGCCGAGUCAGAGCCGGGCGGGAGCCUGCACUGAUUGCGCACAGCGGCCGCCCGGAUCGCUCUCAAGCUCUCGCCCGCCCGCCACGCCCGGGCGUGCCGAGCGCCGCGGCGGCCCCUUCCCGCCUCGCCGGUUCACAGCGCGCGGCCCGGCGCCGCGGCGGCACGCCCUCCCAGACCGCGCGCCCGGCGGCCCGCCGCUGGCUGUCGACGCGAGUCCAUCCCUGUCGCCUCCUCGUCUGGGGCCCGCAGCGGCUGAGCUCUCCCGAGACCCCGGGCCCCGCGCAUGGGACGCCCCUGCACGAGUCUCCCUGCGACCGGGCCAACUCAGAAGGUCCCCGCGGCGCUGCGGCAACCGGCCCGGGCCCCGGCUCCUGCCAUUUUUGUCAACCGCCAACUUCCGAGCGAGCGGGGAGAAACUGAAAGGAAGGGCGGGGGCCGAAAGGCAGAGGGAAAAACACCCGCUUCCUCUCCGCGCGCGGCUUCACCUCGGAGCGCGGCCGUGGCUGUGCCGCCGCCCGCAGGGUCUGCCGGAGGUUUUUCUCUUCCCGUCCGCGCCUCGCCCCCGGGCUCGCCGCCGCCGCCUCGGCCGUAACCUCCCUGGAGCCUAUAGAAAUCUUUUGUGUGGCGUCACCGCCUUUCGUUUAAAUCCCGCUUCCUCCUCUCGUCCUUCCUCCCGCCCCCUCCGCCGCUCCCGGAUGCUUGCGCGAUGCGCUGCUCCUCCCCCGGGAAGCUGGGUGGCUGCGGGGGACGCCGCCGCCCAACGCGGACGCCACCGGCGUGGGGCCGGUGGUCACGGACCCCCCCCAUGGUCGUGGGCCGAGAGACUGGGGAAGCGGACAGGGGAAGGCCUGCCCCGGGCGGGGGGCUCUGCGCACACCCAUGGGAGACCGGGGCGCAGCCGCCCGCGGGCAUUACGUAAGCUCUUAGCCGGACCUGGGGGCUUCCUCCCCGCCAAGAGAGGAACUCUAAAAGGUGACUUGGCCUCCAGGCUGAAGGCAGGAGGACACUCGAUACUGGCCACUGGUGAUUUGUUGGGGCCGGCGGGUCAUCUCGGUCUGCGCGACUUCGCCAGUUUUUCCAACGCCCCCUGCCCUUUGUUGUGUUUGAUCCGCUUCCGCGAUGGGUUUCUGACCAGCAGUGCAGUGUAACGAAAAGAGGAAAAGAGCACUGGAUGUGGAGUCCCAAGAGUAGGGCUAGAUGCUUGCCCGUUCCUCCCUUGAAAUAUGUCUUAUGCAGUGAGAGCGCGGGCUCUGAACCAGACUUCCUAGGAUCAGCCUUUCUCAAGCCAUUUAUGAGUUCCAUGACCUUGUUCAAGUUAUCGCUCCAAGUAUCCGCCUUCUAUUCUAGAAAUUAGAGACUGUGCACAGGCUGCUUGAGUACUUGGCUCCUAAACAGUAGCUGUUAGAAUUAUGAGCCUUGAUCAGCGCAGUUUGCCUCCUCAUAACGUCUAUUUAUUCGUCUGUAUAAUGGAAUAAUAGUGGCUGCUGUUAAAUGAAUUAAAUAAGACAGCGUUUGGAGGGAAACGUUAUUACUCCAGUUUCACAGAGAAGGAAACUGAUCAGGUGCUUGAAAUGACUUCCCAAGAUCAAGAAGACAGCAUAUGGCAGGGACAAGAGCCCACGCCUACUCCCAGCCUCUUUUUACCGGACCUUGUUUUUCAGGAAGUGGUUAAAACACCUGGGCUACUCCCAGCAAAACGCCAGUAUCGCAGUCCUGAAACAG
This is a long non-coding RNA of Papio anubis (olive baboon), 1996 nucleotides long. The record is from Ensembl. NCBI's taxonomy places the organism in Eukaryota, Metazoa, Chordata, Mammalia, Primates, Cercopithecidae.